UAAAUGCUCAAGGAAUCUGAAAAAUAAAUAGUAGAACUUCUAUGAAGGUGAGAAGUCACAGAACAAACCUGAGAAUGCCAGCGGUAUGGAGGAAUGAAAUGGAAGGAGAGAUUGUCAGGAGAAGAAUGGUUGGCAGUUGGAGAAACAGAAGUCCAGCAUUUGUAGAUCCCUUCCUCAAGUGCACAGAGCUCGGCUUCUAAAUGAAACCCUGAGCCAUACAAGUCACAGACGGGGAGUAUGGUGGAUGGAUAUAUCCAUGGGGUAUGGAGUUUGCUCUUCUACAAAAGAGUUAAAUACAGUUGUAAUUGAGUGAACUAAUUGAUUCAAACAAAAUUAUUUGCCAGGCAGUUUUAAAACCAGAAAACAGUUAAAAUGCGAACCACAGAAGGAAGACAACUUCAAAGGUUAAU
Erinaceus europaeus (western European hedgehog) is the source of this 410-nucleotide long non-coding RNA. RefSeq lists it as uncharacterized. NCBI's taxonomy places the organism in Eukaryota, Metazoa, Chordata, Mammalia, Eulipotyphla, Erinaceidae. The transcript has 3 exons. The record is from RefSeq and is a predicted model, not a curated record.